This 480-nucleotide ribosomal RNA is filed under the name uncultured bacterium. RNAcentral's name for it is "partial 16S ribosomal RNA". It matches the Rfam family "Bacterial small subunit ribosomal RNA", at positions 28 to 523 of the family's 1533-position model. The record is from RNAcentral.
GAUGAACGCUGGCGGCGUGCCUAACACAUGCAAGUCGAACGGUUAAGGCGGCUUCGGCCGCGAAUAAAGUGGCGAACGGGUGAGUAACGCGUGACCGACCUUCCCCCCGCACCGGGACAACCGCGGGAAACCGCGGCUGAUACCGGGUACUCCGGGGCCCCCGCAUGGGGGCCCCGGGAAAGCUCCGGCGGCGGGGGAUGGGGUCGCGUCCCAUCAGGUAGUAGGCGGGGCAACGGCCCACCUAGCCGACGACGGGUAGCCGGGUUGAGAGACCGACCGGCCACAUUGGGACUGAGAUACGGCCCAGACUCCUACGGGAGGCAGCAGUGGGGAAUUUUGCGCAAUGGGGGCAACCCUGACGCAGCAACGCCGCGUGCGGGACGACGGCCUUCGGGUUGUAAACCGCUUUCAGCAGGGAAGAACCUAAGACGGUACCUGCAGAAGAAGCCCCGGCUAACUACGUGCCAGCCGCCGCGGUAA